AUGCGGACGGUCCUGUUUCCAGCGUCUGUUCAGUUCUGUAUUGUGCAAAAUUACUGGCCACUAGCAGCACUAUCGGUCGACGUGGUAUUUAGUAGUACCUCCGGGUCAAUUUUGUGUGCCUGUUGCAGCAAUUGUGGUGCACUGACUGGUGCGGGCCGGGGCGCAAAAUGGAAACGAAAACGAAAGGGAAAGGCUCGGUCACAAGAAAGAAAGAAGGAGGCGAUGGCAUGGAGCCAUGGAGAGUUGGAGACCGAGCGCUGGUGUAUGUGUUGUGCUGACUCUGCAGCUAGCUCAUCCGCUUGGCGUGAGCGCAUGUACCUAUCUUAUCUACUGCCGGGUGGUGGAAGCGGACGCGAUGGCGAUGCAUCAUCUCGACCGCAUCUGCUGCAUGCAUUUGUUUGUCAAAGAAAGAAGUUUGUUCCCUACCCUUGGUGCUGUGAUCCAUCCGAGCUAGCCUGA
This 459-nucleotide ribosomal RNA is filed under the name Triticum aestivum (bread wheat). Its description in RNAcentral is "partial small subunit ribosomal RNA". Lineage: Eukaryota; Viridiplantae; Streptophyta; Magnoliopsida; Poales; Poaceae. The record is from RNAcentral.